RNAcentral lists this small nuclear RNA (21 nucleotides) under Arabidopsis thaliana (thale cress). Its description in RNAcentral is "snRNA_03030". Lineage: Eukaryota; Viridiplantae; Streptophyta; Magnoliopsida; Brassicales; Brassicaceae. The record is from RNAcentral.
CUACCACUAUUACCAGUGUCA